RNAcentral lists this ribosomal RNA (805 nucleotides) under uncultured bacterium. RNAcentral describes it as "bacterial SSU rRNA". It matches the Rfam family "Bacterial small subunit ribosomal RNA", at positions 8 to 796 of the family's 1533-position model. The record is from RNAcentral.
AGAGUUUGAUCCUGGCUCAGAACGAACGCUGGCGGCGCGCUUAACACAUGCAAGUCGAACGGGGUCAUUAUGAAGUAGCAAUACGGAUUGAUGACUUAGUGGCGGACGGGUGAGUAAUACAUAGGCAACCUGCCCUUAGGAUUGGGAUACUCCCGAGAAAUCGGGCACAAUACCGAAUAUGAUUACGAGGUGAAAUUCCUUGUGAUAAAAGUCCCGAGCAAUCGGGACACCUGAGGAGGGGCCUGUGGCCUAUCAGCUUGUUGGUGAGGUAACGGCUCACCAAGGCUAAGACGGGUAGCCGGACUGAGAGGUCGAUCGGCCACACUGGAACUGAGACACGGUCCAGACUCCUACGGGAGGCAGCAGUGGGGAAUUUUGCGCAAUGGGCGAAAGCCUGACGCAGCGACGCCGCGUGGGGGAAGAAGGCCUUCGGGUUGUAAACCCCUUUCGUGAGGGAAAAAGUCCCGGGCAACCGGGAUGAUGGUACCUCAGGAAGAAGCCACGGCUAACUCUGUGCCAGCAGCCGCGGUAAGACAGAGGUGGCAAGCGUUGUUCGGAUUUACUGGGCUUAAAGGGCGUGUAGGCGUCCUGAUAAGUCAGAUGUGGAAGCCUUGGGCUUAACCCAAGAAUUGCAUUUGAAACUGUCAGGAUUGAGUCAUGCAUGGGAGGGCGGAAUUCCUGGUGUAGCGGUGAAAUGCGUAGAUAUCAGGAGGAAGGCCUGUGGUGAAGAUGGCCCUCUGGGCAAUGACUGACGCUGAGGCGCGAAAGCGUGGGUAGCAAACAGGAUUAGAUACCCUGGUAGUCC